AGUCCAUUAAGCCUAGGGACCUUUCUAGAUUUUUCUUUGGAACAAAAAUAAAUAAAAAAAUACUAAGAACUUAAUAUAAAAAAAUCUAAGGAGUAAUGAGCAAAAUACAUCAAAAUAUACCUAAACCUAGACUCUAGCUAUAAAGUACUGCUUUAAAAAAAUCUGAAGAGGGGAACAAAAGAUCAACGCUGAAAAUGAGCUAAAAAACUGAAAAAAUGACUGAAAUAAAAAAUCUGUAGCGCCAUUUUCUCUAAAACAGGAGGACGGACUAAAUACACAAAAAUGAAUGCCGAGAAAAUCUAAACAGUUGAGCCCUUCCCACUGUUUUGCUGCUUCUUCAUUUUCACGACUGGGGCCUCCAUUGGAGGAGGCACCAUAAAAGAUCUGGAUUCUGCUUCUUCUUCAACCAUUAGAGACCUUUGAACCCUCACGCCAACCACGCUAACAAGCGGCCAUAAACACGACCGCACCUCCCUGACUUCACCUUCUUCAUCCCCGAAACCUGCUGAAAUAUCCGCGAAACAGUCCGAAAAGCCUCGUCCAAAGCAGAGCAGAUCAGAGGUGCCGAUUCGAGGUCAGUUUCUGAAACUUGUCGAGGUUCCAGCGAGUUUCGAGACUGGAACGUAGUUCCGUUCGAGUCCGUCAACCGUUUCGGCUAUGGUCCAGUCUUCCUAUUAAAGUUUAGUUGCUAUUGGAUUUCAUCUCGUCUGUUGGCUGCUUCGUGUAAGAUUUAAUUGGAAAUUCUUAUUAAUACAUCAGAAGAGUAUUUUUGUUGCUCUCUAUUGGCUGCUUCGUGUAAGAACUCUUGCUCACUCUUUAAUUUUCAAAUGUUAUUUCUGUCCGUGUUUAGUUGAAAUAGUUGUUUGCCUUUGUGUUUGAUUUUGUCUUCUUUCGAGAGAUUGAUGUUGCGCAUACUAGGGA
RNAcentral lists this long non-coding RNA (921 nucleotides) under Nicotiana benthamiana. RNAcentral's name for it is "long non-coding RNA (NBEN_LNC036334)". The record is from RNAcentral. Lineage: Eukaryota; Viridiplantae; Streptophyta; Magnoliopsida; Solanales; Solanaceae.